AUUGAACGCUGGCGGCAGGCCUAACACAUGCAAGUCGAGCGAGCGGCGGACGGGUGAGCAAUGUCUGGGAAACUGCCUGAUGGAGGGGGAUAACUACUGGAAACGGUAGCUAAUACCGCAUACCAUCAGAUUUGCCCAGUUGGGAUUAGCUAGUAGGUGGGGUAACGGCUCACCUAGGCGACGAUCCCUAGCUGGUCUGAGAGGAUGACCAGCCACACUGGACCUGGGACACGUUCCAGACUCCUACGGGAGGCAGCAGUGGGGAAUAGUGCACAAGGGGCGCAAGCCGGAUGCAGCCAUGCCGCGUGUGUGAAGAAGGCCUUCGGGUUGUAAAGCACUUUCAGCGGGGAGGCGUUACCCGCAGAAGAAGCACCGGCUAACUCCGUGCCAGCAGCCGCGGUAAUUC
RNAcentral lists this ribosomal RNA (406 nucleotides) under uncultured bacterium. RNAcentral's name for it is "partial 16S ribosomal RNA". It matches the Rfam family "Bacterial small subunit ribosomal RNA", at positions 30 to 526 of the family's 1533-position model. The record is from RNAcentral.